CCCGCGCCCCGGCGCUGCCCCGGCACCGACACCGCCGCCGGGACGGCGACCGAGACCGCGACUGGUUCUGGGAUUGGCACCGGGCCCGGCGGCUGGACUGGGAACGGGACUGGCACUGACACCGAGACAGGCACCGCCACGGGGAUGGGAACCGGGACUGGGACUGAUUCCGGGACUGGCACUGACACCGAGACAGGCACCGCCACGGGGAUGGGAACCGGGACUGGGACUGAUUCCGGGACUGACACCGGCAGCGGAACUGGGAACGGGACCGGCACGGAGACCGGCACUGGAACCGAAGCCGGAAGCGGCACCAGGACACAGACCUGGACAGGGACUGGGACCAGCACCGAGACCAGUGCUGGGAUAGGUACCGGGACGGGGAUAGGAAGCAGGAGUGGCAAGCUCACCGGGGCCAGCACCGGGACUGGAGCCACCCUGCCCAGCGCAGCCCACUGCCCGCUGCCUUCCCCGUUCCCAUCCUCUUGAAGCAGCCAGUCCCAGGGGCGCCUCCCUCCCUGGAAGCCCCAGAAAGGGGCAGGCGCGGCUCGAGGGGAGCCUUGGGUGGGGCCUGAGGGAAACUCUUGGAGCAGUGCUGGGAGCGGGGCAAAGAGGACCUCAUGCCCUUGGAGGAGCCGUUGGGAAAAUUAUGAAGGUCUCAAGGGAGCCCUGAAUGGGACCUGUGGGGAGCACUGGGGCCAACCCUGAGGGGCCAGGGGGCUACUGGGUGCUCAGGGAGCCCUAGGGAGGGCCAAAGGAUGAUUCAAAGGAUGCUUGCUCCCUUGUAGCCAUCCCUGGGGCAGGCUGUGAUAUGUCCAGCCUGUGGAGCUGGAAACACUUGGAGAAGGAUCUCAGACCUGCAGGACCUGUUAUGGGAGAGAUGUUUCAAGACCCUGUACUUCUAUCCUCCUGAUGUGUUUGUGAACAUUUUAGGGGUUUCAGCUGAAUCCUCACUCAUUUGGUGGGGUCCAUGGGUGCUUGGGUUACUUGAGGCAGCAGACUUAGCUCCCUUGUCAUGGGCUGGGGCUGUUGAGCUCUGCGGAGCACUGGAGAGGGCUGGCAGGACCUUGGGAUCUUCCCAGGCAGGACAAGUUCCUGUCCUGCUCCUGGGAGGCGUUUGUCUGAGCUGUUCCUCCUGACACACCCAGUGCUGAGCUCCAGAGAUUGCUGAGCACAUCCCUGACACCCCAUGUCCAGGAAUCUCCUGAGUCUUGGCCUUGCAGGAUUGUUUCACAGCUGCAUCACAGCUGCAUAUGUUCAUACAUCAGGGAGGCCAGUUUGAACUCAACUUGGCAACUUCUGUUAAAAAUAAAAAAAAAGUUUUUACAAAUAUAUGAAUAGUAAAAGGAAGGGUAUAACCGAUCUCUGUUCCUUAGUGGAUGUGGCAGGCAACCUAGUAACUAAAGAUGAGGAAAAGGCAAAAAUGCUUAAUGCUAUCUUCGCCUCAUUCUUUAGUGGUAAGACAGCUUGUCCUCAAGACAACUGUCCUCAGGGGUUGGUAGGUGAUGCCAGGGAGCAGAAUGGUCCUCUUGUUAUCCAAGAAGAGGCAGUCAGAGAACUACUGGGACACUUGGAUAUUUAUAAAUCAAUGGGACCAGAUGGAAUCCACCCCAGGGUGAUGAGGGAGCUGGCAGAUGUGCUUGCGAAGCUGCUCUCCAUCAUUUAUCAGGAGUCGUGGCUCACUGGUGAGGUCCCAGACUAUUGGAAACUGGCCAAUGUGACACCCAUUUACAAAAAAGGUAGGAAGGAGGAUCCUGCUAAUUACAGGCCAGUUAGCCUGACCUCAGUACCAGGUAAGAUAAUGGAACAGUUCAUACUUAGUGCUGUCACACAGCACUUAAGGAUGGCCAGGGUAUCAGACCCAGCCAGCAGGGGUUUAGGAGGGGUAGGUCGUGUUUGACCAACCUGGUCUCCUUUCAUGACCAGGUGAGCCUCCGGUGGAUGCGGGACAGGCUGUGGAUGUGUCUGGACUCCAGCAAGGCCUUUGGCACUGUUUCCCACAGCACUCCUGGAAAAGCUGCAGCCCACGGCUGGGCCAGGAGCGCUCUGUGCUGGGCUCAGAACUGGCUGCAUGGCCGGCCCAGAGAGUGGUGAGCAGUGCUGCAUCCAGCUGGGGACAGGCACCAGUGGUGUCCCUCAGGGCUCUGUGCUGGGCCAGCUCUGUUCCAUGUUUUUAUUGACCACAUGGAUGAGGGCAUCGAGUCCUUCAUUAGUAAAUCUGCAGAUGACACUAAGCUGGGAGCGUGUGUCCAUCUGUUGGAAGGUAGGAGGGCUCUGCAGAGAGACUUAGAUCAGUUGGAGGGACGGGCAGAGUCCAAUAAGAUGAUGUUUAAUAAAUCCAAGUGUUGAGUCCUGCAUUUUGGCCACAAUAACCCCCUGCAACAUUACAGGCUGGACAGUGUCCAGGCAGAAAGGGACCUGGGGGCACUGGUCGACAGCCAACUAAACAUGAGCCAGCAGUGUGCCCUGGUGGCCAAAAAGGCCAAUGGCUCCUGGCCUGUAUCAGCAAUGGUGUGACCAGCAGAACUAGGGGGGGUCAUCCUUCCCCUGUACUCGGCACUGGUGAGGCCACACCUUGAGUGCUGUGUCCAGUUCUGGCCCCUCAGUUUGGGAUGGACGUUGAGACACCCGAGCGCAUCCAGAGGAGGCAACGAGGCUGGAGAGGGGCUGGGAACACAAACCCUGUGAGGAACGUUUGAAGGAACUGGGAUUGUUUAGCCUGGAGAAGAGGAGGCUUAGAGGUGACCUUAUUGCUCUCUACAACUCCCUGAAGGGAGCUGCAGACAGGUGGGGGUCGGUCUCUUCCCCCAGUCAGCACUGACAGAACAAGAGGACACAGUCUCAAGCUACGUCAGGAAAGGUUUAGGUUGGAUAUUAGGAAAAAAUUUUCACCAAAAGAAUAAUAAAGUACUGGAAUGGUCUGCCCAGGGAGGUGGUGGAGUCACCAUCUCUGGAUAUGUUUAAAAAAAGACUGGACUUGGCACUUGGUGCUAUAGUCUAGUUGUGGUGUUAGGGCAUCGGUUGGACUUGAUGAUCUUAGAGGUCUCUUCCAACCUCAUUAUUCUGUGAUUCUGUGAUUCUGUGCCGGUGUCCCUUCUCUGUGCCCACGUCCUCUCUCUGUGACCAUGUUCCUUCUCCAUGCCCACCUCUCCAGCCCCGUUUCCUGUGGCUCCCGGGGGAUGACUCCGGGCUGAUGCAGGGCUGUCCAAAUCCAGCUCCUCAGUGACAUCUUGUGCUGGGAAUGCUCAGCGCAUGCAGGACACGGGAAAAUUAGUUCCUGCAAUUGUUUUCCCUGCCUCCCCAACACUGACAUUGCUGUAACCGGCAGUGAAACCACGGGGAUCCCCUGAGCUCAUUUGUAAGGUUUUUUUGGGAACAUCUUGUCCUUCCACGGAGACAGCCAGGCAGUGGCAUUGCCUCUGACAGAGCUGGGUACAAAGCUCUGGCAAAGCAUCCACUUCCUUCAAAACAUUCCCUGUGCUAACUCUUUUGUGCCAUUUAGAGAUAAUAAUAAUUUACCCAAAGUUCCUCGCCAUGAUGAGACUGCACAUACGAAUUCUUGGGAUGCUGUUCAAACCUUGUUUCUCCGCCAACUGCCACAGAGAAAAUUCCCUUUGAAGGCUCUAAUGGCACCAAUCACCCCUGGGAAACACUUGCCUGGUCUUAGCAGGGAAAGCUUCCAAGUGCUGCCUGCUGUGCCAGCAGAGCUGCAGCCCUGCAGCAUCCAGCUGGGUGCAGAACCAGGUCUGAGUUUCUGAAGAAACUUUAGUCUCAGACCCAAACUCAGAGAUGAAAUGUUAAAAAGCCGCUUUUGAUGGAAGUGAAAUCUGAUGAGGUUUCUCUCAGGAUGGUGGUACUUGAAGCAGAGAAAAUCCUCGAGCUGGCAGCCCUGCCAGUGGCAGGGAGACCAACAAGGGAUGCCCCAGGCUGCCGUGGGGACUGUACCAAGCCCUUGUGGAUCACCGUGGCCUUGCAGAGUGCUGAUCCCCCAGCUCCCAGUCUCCCUUGGGUGUGACAUCAUGCCUUUGAGGCCACUGUCCCUGUUCCCAGCAUGGGCAGGCAGGGGCUGCUGGCACAGAGGGGCUGGUCCCUGCUCCCGGUGGCUGCAGCUGGCGUGGGGAGCUCAGUGCAGCCCAUGGCUGGAGCACGCAUCACAGACACAGCCAUGCUGCUGCAUCCCGCACGAGGAGCAUGGCUGAGGCUGGGUAACACGCAGCCAAGUCCUUCCUCGGCCACUCAUUGUGGCAGCAAUGGGAAUAAAUCCAGGAGAAGCUGUUAUGGAGGGCUUGGGAAGCCGUUAAAUGUGAAGAAACAUUUGAAUGUGAGACAAAUAGUUGAGGAGGGAAUUUGGCACGGGAGGAGGUGCAGUUAGAAGGAGAGGCCAUGCCAUGCAUAUUUCAUGGGCCAGCCCUCAGCAGAGGCUCCUCUGACACCACAAACAUCAUCGAUGGCCAGGAGUAACAGCAGCCGCUCCCAGCAUGUGGGAAGGAGAAGGGUGAGAUGAUCACUCCUCCUGCCUCGUGCUAGAAGUGGGCCAAGGACACAGGACCUGGAAGCUGCUGGCUCUGCUCCCCAGGUUUGGGACCAGCCUUCCUCACCCUCCUCUUCCUCCAGCCCAGUGCCAGGCUAGGGGUAAGCCUGCCCCAUCCUUGGGGCUGGGGAUUUGUCCUCAUUGUCCCACAGCUCUGUGAGCCUUCCAGCCCUGCUGCCCCAGCACUCUGUGCUUCCAGCAUUGCUCCUCUGAGGCUUCCUUGGAAAGUACUGACCCAGGUCCUCCUCUGUCAGGUGUUUCUCACAGACCAUAUACCUGACUUGUGCCCAGCACCCGCGCUACCAAACCGCUCCCACCGCAGGCCAGCAUGCAGGAGGGACACCUGCACCCUGUGGGAGCAGCGUGGAUCCUCAGCUGGCAUCUGGCGCUGACAGAGUGCCCCUUGGAGCAGCAGUGCUGGGGUGGCAGGAGCUGGGUGGUCAGAAUCUGAUGUGGAUCCACUGGCAAAACCCAGGAGAAGGUGGACUUCAGGACAGUGCUUCCUAAAUUGCAGCCACAUGUGGGUUCUCAUCUUGUAGGGAGUUAUUUUUCUUCACAACAGACUUCAUCUCCCUCUCUGCAACUCUUCAGGGAGAACUCCAGAUUUACUACUGCUCACUCUGAGGGGAUAAACCCCUGUGGGGUGCACAGGAGCUCCCAGCCUUAGGAUGGGGUGUGUUUGGAUAAUGAGUCGGUUCUCUCUGACUCCACCUAAGCACCCUGUCCCCCUCAGUGUCACCCUCCUGGGGGUGAAUCUGCCUUGUGCCCCAGUGUGGAGCACAAUCUGGCAGCAGGAUGGAGGAACCAGCCUUCCUUCUCACAGCUGGAGAAGCAGGGAGCUGCAUCCUUCCCCUUGCACUUGGUGCUGCAGAGGCCGCAGGAGGCUCAGCUGCUCCAGCAGGAUUGGGGUGAUCUCUAGCCAGGUGUGGCACAGGCAGGUGAGGCUGCAGCACUUGGUGUCCUGCCUCCAUGAGAGCAGAGCUUGGGAACUUGCUGGUCACCUGGGGAGUGACAGGGUGGGAGCUCCAGUUCCUGGGGCGUUCCUUUGGGCUGGGGCCCUGGAGAGAGCAGCUGAGAGCUGCCACAGACUCUGCAGAGGAAAGAGAUGCUGGGCAGCUCCUCUUGCAGCCCAUCUCCUGGCCAGCCCAGACACUGGUCUCCCAGCAUGGUUGGGAUUUUGAAAGCUGGACUGUGUUCUGACCCCUGGCAUUUUCCAGUUGCAUCCCAAUGAUUUUUGUGAAUCACUUGCAGCCUAAGAGAUAAAUGUCUUCUUAACUCUUCCUGUGAGUUUCUGGGUGCAGCUCAGCAGCCAAGAGAAAACACCCAGGUGAAAUCCUGUCUCCAUAAAGGUCAAUGCUAUUAAAAAACAAAUUGCCUCUGAAAUGGAACCUAGGAAAUAUCCAAGGCAGGGAAAGGCACAUCAGACUUGCCACACCAGCUUAUUGUUUCUUUGCAGGGAGUCCUUCUCUUUUUCCAUCCACUGGCAGAAGGGAGUCAUGUGAGAUGUCCACAAGUGUGCUUGGGAGAAAAGGAACAUCAGUGAAGACCUGAAACAAUUUUGCUGCUCUUACAGCUGAGAAAGGAUCAUGCUGGAAGGUUUCUGUGGAAGUGGGGCCUGGGGAAUGGACAUGAAAAGCCUUUUUUCCCAGCUGACUCCGUUGGUGGGCCAAAGUUAUUUUCUCUCAUUAGAGCUGCUGAUACAGCUGGAAGAAGUGAGCUCUCUCUCCAAAACUUCAUCUGCCAGUGAAAGGCAGCAUCCCCCAGGAAGAUCUUGGGGUAUUUAGCUGCUCCAGCUUCUCGUUCCUCUGGCUGUGGCUCUUUGCACUGGAACUUGGAAAGAAAAAUAUUCUGGGAUGGAAAAUUUCAAGCCUAAAGGGUAAAGUUGGACAAAAUCCAGGUGAGACUUGGCAGAGAGACCCAGCAAAGGUUGUUCCUUGUGCUGACAUUUUUGCUCUGUGCUUUGGAGAGCCUCCCUGCAGCUCUGCUCCAGCCAGGUCAGGCUCUGCUCAUGUAAGUGAUCAUGUUAACACCACCACAUGUGACUUUCUCUGGGUUUUCUUUUUUUCAUUUUAUUAUUUUUAAUUUUUUUUUUGUCUCUGAAACUGUGAAUGUUUCGGAAGCAGAUGCUGCAGUGGUCUUACAUCCUAUGGGGAUGGCUGUCCUGUCAGCCCACCCCACUCCCAGAAGUGGCCCAGAGGCUUUGAUCCUCUGGCUGCUUGUCCACAGCAGACACUGCACAUCUGUGGUAGCACCAGAACACCCUGACACAGCCCAGAUAAAUCACCUGAUGGAAAUGAGGAGCUGGGAUCUUGUGGAAACUCUGGCUACUGGAAACCAAAAGGAGAACUCGGUGUCUGUGCUGGCUCUGGGGUGCAUGUGAAAGUGCUUUAGAACAAGGGGCAUGCUGGAGACUGCUGUGACUCCUUCUCACUCCUGUGAAUUCUUCCACUCAGGUCUUGCCAGAGUGUGCCAACCCAUCCCUGCAAGGCUGGAGGAGCUCUGCAGAAGGACCUUCAUGGGCUGUGCUGAGUCCUGGGCUCCUCUGCAGCAGGAAGGACCCCAUGGUACUCAUGGAAUGCCAUGAGUUACUGAGAAAAUCCCCAGGUGCUGAGGGCAAAGGCCUCAAAAGUCACCUGUGGAGAAAGAAGAAGAUUAGAUCUGCCUCAUUCCAAGGGUUUAAACCAUUUUUAUGUUACUAAAAAGAUGUCUUUAUGCUCUAGGUGGUUUUGUUUUUCAAAAAAAGAUAAAGACAGCAAAUCCAAGGUAAAAAAUGCAAUUUGAAGAUGAGAGAUGAAUGUGUUUUGCCGUAAAUUUGGAGAAAUCACCACCAAAUUUGGUGUGGGGUUGUUGUCCUCUCCUUCCCUCCAGGGAGCACUGUGGCAUCUCCUUUCCUCUGGAUUUUGGAGAGAAUGAAUUUGUGUUUCUUACCCAGAAACAGAAAUAAAGCUCCAACAACCUGUC
Taeniopygia guttata (zebra finch) is the source of this 7492-nucleotide non-coding RNA. Lineage: Eukaryota; Metazoa; Chordata; Aves; Passeriformes; Estrildidae. The record is from RefSeq and is a predicted model, not a curated record.